RNAcentral lists this ribosomal RNA (497 nucleotides) under uncultured bacterium. Its description in RNAcentral is "partial 16S ribosomal RNA". It matches the Rfam family "Bacterial small subunit ribosomal RNA", at positions 28 to 507 of the family's 1533-position model. The record is from RNAcentral.
GACGAACGCUGGCGGCGUGCCUAAUACAUGCAAGUAGAACGCUGAAGCGAGGAGCUUGCUCUUCUUGGAUGAGUUGCGAACGGGUGAGUAACGCGUAGGUAACCUGCCUUGUAGCGGGGGAUAACUAUUGGAAACGAUAGCUAAUACCGCAUAACAAUGGAUGACACAUGUCAUUUAUUUGAAAGGGGCAAUUGCUCCACUACAAGAUGGACCUGCGUUGUAUUAGCUAGUAGGUGAGGUAAUGGCUCACCUAGGCGACGAUACAUAGCCGACCUGAGAGGGUGAUCGGCCACACUGGGACUGAGACACGGCCCAGACUCCUACGGGAGGCAGCAGUAGGGAAUCUUCGGCAAUGGGGGCAACCCUGACCGAGCAACGCCGCGUGAGUGAAGAAGGUUUUCGGAUCGUAAAGCUCUGUUGUAAGUCAAGAACGGGUGUGAGAGUGGAAAGUUCACACUGUGACGGUAGCUGACCAGAAAGGGACGGCUAACUACGUG